This 459-nucleotide ribosomal RNA is filed under the name uncultured bacterium. RNAcentral's name for it is "partial 16S ribosomal RNA". It matches the Rfam family "Bacterial small subunit ribosomal RNA", at positions 339 to 795 of the family's 1533-position model. The record is from RNAcentral.
CUACGGGGCGCUCCAGUAAGGAAUAUUGCGCAAUGGAGGCAACUCUGACGCAGCCAUGCCGCGUGCAGGAAGAAGGCCUUAUGGGUCGUAAACUGCUUUUAUUUAGGAAUAAACCCCCGAACGUGUUCGGGGCUGAAGGUACUAAACGAAUAAGCACCGGCUAACUCCGUGCCAGCAGCCGCGGUAAUACGGAGGGUGCAAGCGUUAUCCGGAUUUAUUGGGUUUAAAGGGUGCGCAGGCGGGCUAUUAAGUCAGUGGUGAAAUCCCGGGGCUCAACUCCGGAACUGCCAUUGAUACUGAUAGUCUUGAGUUAGGUUGAAGUGGGCGGAAUGUAGCAUGUAGCGGUGAAAUGCAUAGAUAUGCUACAGAACACCAAUCGCGAAGGCAGCUCACUAAGCCAAAACUGACGCUCAUGCACGAAAGCGUGGGGAUCAAACAGGAUUAGAUACCCGGGUAGUC